RNAcentral lists this ribosomal RNA (532 nucleotides) under Botrytis cinerea. RNAcentral's name for it is "eukaryotic LSU rRNA". The stretch from base 187 to 340 matches the Rfam family "5.8S ribosomal RNA". The record is from RNAcentral. Lineage: Eukaryota; Fungi; Ascomycota; Leotiomycetes; Helotiales; Sclerotiniaceae.
AACAAGGUUUCCGUAGGUGAACCUGCGGAAGGAUCAUUACAGAGUUCAUGCCCGAAAGGGUAGACCUCCCACCCUUGUGUAUUAUUACUUUGUUGCUUUGGCGAGCUGCCUUCGGGCCUUGUAUGCUCGCCAGAGAAUACCAAAACUCUUUUUAUUAAUGUCGUCUGAGUACUAUAUAAUAGUUAAAACUUUCAACAACGGAUCUCUUGGUUCUGGCAUCGAUGAAGAACGCAGCGAAAUGCGAUAAGUAAUGUGAAUUGCAGAAUUCAGUGAAUCAUCGAAUCUUUGAACGCACAUUGCGCCCCUUGGUAUUCCGGGGGGCAUGCCUGUUCGAGCGUCAUUUCAACCCUCAAGCUUAGCUUGGUAUUGAGUCUAUGUCAGUAAUGGCAGGCUCUAAAAUCAGUGGCGGCGCCGCUGGGUCCUGAACGUAGUAAUAUCUCUCGUUACAGGUUCUCGGUGUGCUUCUGCCAAAACCCAAAUUUUCUAUGGUUGACCUCGGAUCAGGUAGGGAUACCCGCUGAACUUAAGCAUA